AAAAUGUACAUGGGAAAAUGAUGGUGCUUUUGGUACACAUUAUUUUCUCAGGUUGGUAAAAUAUUUCCAUUUAGUACUUAAAAACAGACAAGGAAACGCUAUUCAGUUUUGAAGUUGGUUUCAAACCAUGGCAGCCAACACUACUCACAUAAAUCCCUAAUGUUGUGCAUAACCCUAAACUAAGUAAACAGUUAUCUACAAUCUUUCCAUCGAGGCAGGUUCUUAUUGACUUUUAG
Molecule: unclassified non-coding RNA, 236 nt
Filed under: Hevea brasiliensis (rubber tree)
Lineage: Eukaryota; Viridiplantae; Streptophyta; Magnoliopsida; Malpighiales; Euphorbiaceae
Source: RNAcentral